CCUACGGGAGGCAGCAGUGAGGAAUAUUGGUCAAUGGGCGCGAGCCUGAACCAGCCAAGUAGCGUGAAGGAUGACUGCCCUACGGGUUGUAAACUUCUUUUAUAAAGGAAUAAAGUGAGGCACGUGUGCCUUUUUGUAUGUACUUUAUGAAUAAGGAUCGGCUAACUCCGUGCCAGCAGCCGCGGUAAUACGGAGGAUCCGAGCGUUAUCCGGAUUUAUUGGGUUUAAAGGGAGCGUAGAUGGGUUGUUAAGUUAGUUGUGAAAGUUUGCGGCUCAACCGGAAAAUUGCAAUUGAUACUGGCAGCCUUGAGUACAGUGGAGGUAGGCGGAAUUCGUGGUGUAGCGGUGAAAUGCUUAGAGAUCACGAAGAACGCCGAUUGCGAAGGCAGCUUACUAAACUGCCACUGACAUUGAUGCUCGAAAGUGUGGGUAUCAAACAGGAUUAGAUACCCGAGUAGUC
This 460-nucleotide ribosomal RNA is filed under the name uncultured bacterium. RNAcentral's name for it is "partial 16S ribosomal RNA". It matches the Rfam family "Bacterial small subunit ribosomal RNA", at positions 338 to 795 of the family's 1533-position model. The record is from RNAcentral.